RNAcentral lists this transfer RNA (73 nucleotides) under Aspergillus clavatus NRRL 1. Its description in RNAcentral is "tRNA-Lys (CTT) (tRNA-Lys-CTT-2-1)". It matches the Rfam family "tRNA". Rfam says of the family: Transfer RNA (tRNA) molecules are approximately 80 nucleotides in length. Lineage: Eukaryota; Fungi; Ascomycota; Eurotiomycetes; Eurotiales; Aspergillaceae. The record is from Rfam by way of RNAcentral.
GCCGGGCUAGCUCAAUCGGUAGAGCGUGAGACUCUUAAUCUCAAGGUUGCGGGUUCGACCCCCGCGUUCAGCU